This 64-nucleotide transfer RNA is filed under the name Amolops ricketti (Chinese sucker frog). RNAcentral's name for it is "tRNA-Ser". Lineage: Eukaryota; Metazoa; Chordata; Amphibia; Anura; Ranidae. The record is from RNAcentral.
AGCCGUCUGGGUACAUAAGAACUGCUAAUUCCUUAUUACCAUGGUUCGAUUCCAUGGUCAGCUC